AGAUUAAGCUACGAAGAGCAUAUGGUGGAUGCCUAGGCAUCAGACGCCGAAGAAGGACGCGAUAAGCUGCGAUAAGCUAUGGGUAGCUGCAAAUGAGCGUUGAUCCAUAGAUUUCCGAAUGUGGG
This 125-nucleotide ribosomal RNA is filed under the name Clostridiales bacterium. RNAcentral's name for it is "partial 23S ribosomal RNA". It matches the Rfam family "Bacterial large subunit ribosomal RNA", at positions 1 to 124 of the family's 2925-position model. Lineage: Bacteria; Bacillati; Bacillota; Clostridia; Eubacteriales. The record is from RNAcentral.